CGGCCACGGUACCCUAACCGUGCAAAGGUAGCAUAAUCACUUGUUCUUUAAAUAAGGACUUGUAUCAACGGCAUCACGAGGGUUCCACUGUCUCCUUUUUCUAAUCAGUGAAACUAAUCUCCCCGUGAAGAAGCGGGGAUACUUCUAUAAGACGAGAAGACCCCAUGGAGCUUUAAACCCAACUAUAUACCUGACUAUUAUAACCACUUAACCCCUUAGGANCCUAUAUAUUUGGUUUUAGGUUGGGGCGACCACGGAGUAUAACUAAACCUCCAUGAUGAACGAAACAACCCCUCUUAUCUAAGAGUUACACCUCUAAGAAUUAGUACACUAACACAAAAUGANCCCAUUAUUGAUCAACGAACCAAGUUACCCUGGGGAUAACAGCGCAAUCCAUUUUAAGAGCUCCUAUCGACAAAUGGGUUUACGACCUCGAUGUUGGAUCAGGAUAUCCCAGUGGUGCAGCAGCUACUAAAGGUUCGUUUGUUCAACGAUUAAAAUCCU
This 504-nucleotide ribosomal RNA is filed under the name Mantidactylus mocquardi. RNAcentral describes it as "partial 16S ribosomal RNA". It matches the Rfam family "Bacterial large subunit ribosomal RNA", at positions 1928 to 2597 of the family's 2925-position model. Lineage: Eukaryota; Metazoa; Chordata; Amphibia; Anura; Mantellidae. The record is from RNAcentral.